AGGUGCGAUCAUACCAGCAUUCGUGCACCAGAUCCUAUCAGAACACUACAGUGAAGCGUACUCGAGCGAGAGUAGUACUAGAAUGGGUGACCUCCUAGGAAGUCCUCACGUUGUACAUC
This is a non-coding RNA of Lupinus angustifolius (narrow-leaved blue lupine), 119 nucleotides long. The record is from Rfam. Lineage: Eukaryota; Viridiplantae; Streptophyta; Magnoliopsida; Fabales; Fabaceae.